Molecule: ribosomal RNA, 484 nt
Filed under: uncultured bacterium
Lineage: Bacteria
Description: partial 16S ribosomal RNA
Rfam family: Bacterial small subunit ribosomal RNA
Source: RNAcentral
AUUGAACGCUGGCGGCAGGCCUAACACAUGCAAGUCGAGCGGUUGAAGGGAGCUUGCUCCUGGAUUCAGCGGCGGACGGGUGAGUAAUGCCUCGGAAUCUGCCUGGUAGUGGGGGAUAACGUCCGGAAACGGGCGCUCAUACCGCAUACGUCCUGAGGGAGAAAGUGAGGGUUCUUCGGACCUCACGCUAUCAGAUGAGCCUAGGUCGGAUUAGCUAGUUGGUGGGGUAAAGGCCUACCAAGGCGACGAUCCGUAACUGGUCUGAGAGGAUGAUCAGUCAAACUGGAACUGAGACACGGUCCAGACUCCUACGGGAGGCAGCAGGGGGGAAUAUUGGACAAUGGGCGAAAGCCUGAUCCAUCCAUGCCGCGUGUGUGAAGAAGGUCUUCGGAUUGUAAAGCACUUUAAGUUGGGAGGAAGGGCAGUAAGUUAAUACCUCGCUGUUUUGACGUUACCAACAGAAUAAGCACCGGCUAACUUCGUG